This 442-nucleotide ribosomal RNA is filed under the name uncultured bacterium. RNAcentral's name for it is "partial 16S ribosomal RNA". It matches the Rfam family "Bacterial small subunit ribosomal RNA", at positions 338 to 795 of the family's 1533-position model. The record is from RNAcentral.
CCUACGGGAGGCAGCAGUAGGGAAUCUUUCACAAUGGGCGAAAGCCUGAUGGAGCAACGCCGCGUGCAGGAUGAAGGCCUUCGGGUUGUAAACUGCUUUUAUAAGCGAGAAAUAUGAUGGUAACUUAUGAAUAAGGAUCGGCUAACUACGUGCCAGCAGCCGCGGUCAUACGUAGGAUCCGAGCAUUAUCCGGAGUGACUGGGUGUAAAGAGUUGCGUAUGUGGCAUAAUAAGUAGCUAGUGAAAUCUGGUGGCUCAAACAUUCAGACUAUUAGCUAAACUGUUAAGCUCGAGACCGUUAGGGGUAACUGGAAUUUCUAGUGUAGGAGUGAAAUCCGUAGAUAUUAGGAGGAACACCGAUGGCGUAGGCAGGUUGCUGGGACGGUUCUGACACUAAGGCACGAAAGCGUAGGGAGCAAACGGGAUUAGAUACCCUUGUAGUC